AGUGGACUACAGAGUCAUGUGGGAGCUUUGAAAAGAUCAUUUAAGUGUGUGUUCCUGCUCCAACCUCACAGUCACAUCAUCCAAUCAGAAGACGGAGAGAAAAAAAACUGUGAGAGAGUCAGAUUCUCACUUUACUGACAUUUAAAUCAGUCAGCAUCGCCAUAGCAACGUCAAACC
Molecule: long non-coding RNA, 177 nt
Organism: Centropristis striata (black sea bass)
Lineage: Eukaryota; Metazoa; Chordata; Actinopteri; Perciformes; Serranidae
Exons: 3
Source: RefSeq, a predicted model, not a curated record